Molecule: long non-coding RNA, 214 nt
Filed under: Mytilus galloprovincialis (Mediterranean mussel)
Lineage: Eukaryota; Metazoa; Mollusca; Bivalvia; Mytilida; Mytilidae
Source: RNAcentral
GGGGCAUUGUAUACUUUUAUACCAAAAAGAACUAGUAGUUACUAACAUUAAGAUUUACUUAAAAAAAACUUUGAAUUUAUCGCUCGUUUAUAUAUUAUGUCUGAAUGACAACUGUCUGUAACUUUAUAUUAAGCCAAAUGCUGUAAUUAUCAAUGUAUCCGAUUUCAAACCGCAUUUAGAUUAGAUAUCGAACAAAUGCCAUCUGCGAAUAAAC